GACCAUAUAAAUUCAUCAUUUCCUAGCUUUUGCAAGGGGGGGAAAGAACAAGGGGAAACGGGAAGAAACAAAGAAAAGAAAAAAAAACACGCAAGAAAGAAUAAGAAGGAGAAGGAGCACGCCAUUUCUGCUGGAGAGCUGCUACCAAGUGAUGUCCACCUGCAGUUUUUCAGAGUUUUGGGCUCUCCUUCCCCUGGGUUUUUCUAUUUCUUAGUCUAUUUUUAUGUUUCUUUUGCUAGUUUUAUCAUUUCCUCUUGUAAAUUUUAUCAUGAUAGAAUAGUUUUUCUAAGAUUUCAGAGUUGGGUUGCACUAUUUUGAAUCUAUUUGUGGAUUUGGAUUGGGUUUUAUCUAGAUUUAUAUAAAUAUGAGUUUUAAUUCUUUUCCUUGUGUGCUUUAUGACUUACCUAAUGUUGGAUCCCAUUGGGUCUAGUUUUUAAUCUUUGAUUGAAUGACUGAAAUGUGAAAAUCAUUGAUAGAUAAUCA
Molecule: unclassified non-coding RNA, 483 nt
Filed under: Hevea brasiliensis (rubber tree)
Lineage: Eukaryota; Viridiplantae; Streptophyta; Magnoliopsida; Malpighiales; Euphorbiaceae
Source: RNAcentral